RNAcentral lists this small RNA (364 nucleotides) under Arabidopsis thaliana (thale cress). RNAcentral's name for it is "ATSL090500". The record is from RNAcentral. Lineage: Eukaryota; Viridiplantae; Streptophyta; Magnoliopsida; Brassicales; Brassicaceae.
UGGUCGAGUACCACCAUCAUCAUUCACUCGACCAAUCACUCUACCAACAGGUCAAGUAUCACCAUCAUCAUUCACUCGACCAAUCACUCUACCAACAAGUGCAGUAUCACCAUCAUCAUUCACUCGACCAAUCACUCUACCACCAAGUCGAGUUCCACCAUCAUCCACCAUUCGACAUCAUACUCGACUGCCAGCUUAAGAGUCUUCUCGAUUCCGCACUCAACCAGACAAUCUAGCAUAAGGAAGAAAAGAAGACUCCAGCAAAUCACUCGACCAAUCACUGGACCACCUAGGUCGAGUAUCGUUCUUAAUCCGUCCCAAUACUGCGUCGUUUUGAGUAUUAGGGUUUCAGAACAUUUUGCUA